Molecule: long non-coding RNA, 1786 nt
Filed under: Hordeum vulgare
Lineage: Eukaryota; Viridiplantae; Streptophyta; Magnoliopsida; Poales; Poaceae
Description: long non-coding RNA (HVUL_LNC005683)
Source: RNAcentral
GGAGCUAGUUUGUACUAAAAUAAUGCAACAUUGAUCAAACAUUGCAGAGGGUAGAAAAGGAUACAUGUAAUACACUUAUAUUAUAGGACGGAGGGAGUAUUUUGGAAAAGGCAUGACCCAAAAAGUCGGAACCACAAGACUAUUUGGGAAAGAUUCCUCUGAAUUUACAUAUUUUAAGCAUGCGUUGACUUGCCACUCUAUGUUAGUAUGCUUCUGCCAAUUUAUUUUCCACAAGAUGAUCCAAAAAUGUUGUUCUAAUUUGAAAAAACCCUGAAAAAUAUUUGUGUUAGAUCCACAAAAUAGGAUUUCACAAGCACUCCAUCCAUUUAUCAUGGAAAUUAAAUAACUGAAUUAUGUGCUAUUUCAACCUUAAAAGAUCCAUCAUUUAAAAAAUGAUAGGAUGGCAAGUCAAUUAGCAAUCAGACAAUUAAAUACUACUAAACACUUUAAGUAAACAUACAGCAGACUUGUCUAUUUCAAUGUUGCCUCCAGCUUUUUUCAAUAAAAUUGCAGUGGAGUUUCAACCACAGGUCCUAUGAGUAAAUAGAAGUGAAAAGAAAUGGAUUUUAAAGGUGAAUAACUGGACGUCUGAACCAAGAAUGACUUGUAAAAGGAAAAUUAAUCAAACUUCAAUAGCAGGACUAUUAAUCUAUAUGUCGACUGCAGCUGCCAAUGGAACAACCCUCUUUUUAAGACGGGCAUGAAAACUGAAGAAUACAAAUGAAACCAUUGUUGUAGCUAUAUGAGCAGAUAUUAUGUCCUCUACAACAGCAGAGUUCUUGAAAGGUCAAAGGCCAGUACCUGGUUGUAUGAAUGAAAAUAAUGCGUUCAGUUGCCUAUGUUUAAAAUCAAAGCAGAGUCGCGAGGAGAAGGAACAUUUGUAGAACUGUAUUGUCCUAAAUGCAAGCAAUUGUAGGAUCUAUUUUUAUUUUCUUAAAUGGUUUAUCAAACAGAGAUAUCAGUCCUCUUAGUAUGAACCUUGAAAUUACUAAUGCAGAUACAAGUUCUAUGCUUACCCUGGUGCAGAACUUGCAAGGCUUUGAAGAGCGUGUCGUUGGGUAGGUUGUUGAUGGCCUGCGACUCCUGGGUAUCGGGGCCGCCUAGCCCGGCCACGACCGCCUGAUCAUGUUGCUGGUAAGGAACGGAUCCAUCAGCCGCUCCGCUACACUGAUGAUACCAUGUACGUCAACGGUACCAUGUACGUCAACGAGGGAGUGCAGGAGUACAGGCUACCGGGAGAAUAUUGAGUGGAGAGAGGGUAGGGAGAUUAGGUUACCUAGGCCGCCGUCCGUUGUCGCUGCCGCUGCGCCGUCCUGCUGGUCGCCCUUCCCGCGUCGAGCUCUUCCUGGAGACCUGGACUCUGCCAAACGGCUCCAAUCUAGUUUCACCCCAGUGCGUUGCCGCUCGAGGUCGUCGUAUGCGGGGAAGAUUGUUUGAGGUCGCCAUAGAUGGGGAAGGUCGCCUGGAUGAUGAAUGAUGAUGACGACUUUCUUGUCCGCUGCCGAAGCCGUCUCGGAGGAAGUGGAUGGAGGGUGGAGAUGGAGACGGGGCAGGGGUUGACGGCAAGAAAGAUGAGCCCAUGGGUGAGAGAAGGAGACGUUGGUCUCUCGCCUUGCCGUGUCCAGCGACGAAGGAAGAGGCCGCCGCGAUUCCUCUCGAGAAAGACAAGGGGCGGGAGCGAGGAAUUCGGGGAGUGGGAGGUCAGUACGUGGGUUGUUUCUUUUUCUUUUCGUAUUUUGUUCGUUCGUGCGGGGACGGGUGGAAGGAAUCGAAAAAAAGAUCGAAC